This 285-nucleotide long non-coding RNA is filed under the name Nicotiana benthamiana. RNAcentral describes it as "long non-coding RNA (NBEN_LNC001639)". The record is from RNAcentral. Lineage: Eukaryota; Viridiplantae; Streptophyta; Magnoliopsida; Solanales; Solanaceae.
AGGUCACCGAGAAACCACCCAAAAUCAGCAGAAAAACUCUCAGAAUGUUCGGGUGAAGAGAAAAUACUCAAAUAUCAUGACGAAAAACUCGAAAAACAUUCGAUCUAGGUCAAAACCACCAUCGACCAUAAGGUCUCAGAAAAGCCCUAGAAAAUCUCUAAAAGAGUUCAACCAAGACAACGAGAUGUAGAGAAACAUAAUCGGAUCGUCGUCUAGGCUCUAAUACCAUGUAAACAUUGAUAUUAGACCGAGAAAUCAUAGAAACUGUAGAGAGAGAAAGUAGAG